RNAcentral lists this ribosomal RNA (279 nucleotides) under uncultured bacterium. RNAcentral's name for it is "partial 16S ribosomal RNA". It matches the Rfam family "Bacterial small subunit ribosomal RNA", at positions 506 to 784 of the family's 1533-position model. The record is from RNAcentral.
UGCCAGCCGCCGCGGUAAUACGGAGGGGGCUAGCGUUGUUCGGAAUUACUGGGCGUAAAGCGCACGUAGGCGGACUAUUAAGUCAGGGGUGGAAUCCCGGGGCUCAACCCCGGAACUGCCUUUGGAACUGGUAUGCUAGAGUUCGAUGGGGGGUGGUGGAAUUCCUAGUGUAGAGGUGAAAUUCGUAGAUAUUAGGAGGAACACCAGUGGCGAAGGCGGCCACCUGGAUCGAUACUGACGCUAAUGUGCGAAAGCGUGGGGAGCAAACAGGAUUAGAUA